GGGGAAUUUUUGCGCAAUGCUCGAGAGAGUGACGCAGCGACGCCGCGUGAAUGACGAAGGCCUUCGGGUCGUAAAGUUCUUUCGACAGGGAAGAAAAAUGUAUAUCAGUAACUGGGUAUAUAGUGACGGUACCUGUAUAAGCAGCCCCGGCUAACUCCGUGCCAGCAGCCGCGGUAAUACGGAGGGGGCGAGCGUUGUUCGGAGUGACUGGGCGUAAAGAGCACGUAGGCGGUGUUGUAAGUCAUUAGUCAAAGGCUAGAGCUCAACUUUAGUAAGGCUAGUGAUACUACAAUACUAGAGUAUCGGAGAGGAUUGCAGAAUUCCUGGUGUAGCGGUGAAAUGCGUAGAUAUCAGGAGGAAUACCGGUAGCGAAGGCGGCAAUC
Molecule: ribosomal RNA, 383 nt
Filed under: uncultured Mucispirillum sp.
Lineage: Bacteria; Pseudomonadati; Deferribacterota; Deferribacteres; Deferribacterales; Mucispirillaceae
Description: bacterial SSU rRNA
Rfam family: Bacterial small subunit ribosomal RNA
Source: RNAcentral